This is an RNA transcript of Zingiber officinale, 4596 nucleotides long. It is a transcript of the gene named pentatricopeptide repeat-containing protein ATP4 homolog, chloroplastic-like, with no coding region annotated. Lineage: Eukaryota; Viridiplantae; Streptophyta; Magnoliopsida; Zingiberales; Zingiberaceae. The transcript has 3 exons. The record is from RefSeq and is a predicted model, not a curated record.
AGUAGGAAAAUAGUCCCUUCGAGAAACUAAUUCCUUUUUUGCGAGCUCCAUCAGGACGGGAGGGGAUUAUCCGAUAAGGCAGCCAAGCGAGUCCCCUGCAGCGGUAGCGGCCCGGCGGUGGCGGUUGCGGCUUGAACAAGGUGAUGGCUUUCUACCUCUCUCCUGCAGCACGUUCCUUUACGCACCUCCACUCUUCCUCCCUUCCUCUACCUCCUUCUUCGUCGCCCUCACUCAGGAGGAGCAGAAGGAGAAGCCUCAUUCCCUCCCACCCUGUUUCCUUCCCCUUCCUCCUUCAUCUCCAUCGGCAUCCUCACAAGCCCCUCAACGUCUACCUAGAAGAUCCCAACACUUCUCCUCCUUCUACUCCAUCUUCCAAUCCGACGCCCUCCAAGAACUCCAUAUGGGUCAACCCCAACAGCCCCCGCGCCUCCCGCCUCCGCCAGCACACCUCCGGCUCUCGUUAUGCCCUCCUCAUCCGCCUUGCUGCCUCCCUCGACUCUUCGGAUUCCUCCGACCUCGCCAUCUCCACCGUCCUCGCGUCCCUCGGCAGCGCCGCCUCCGAGCAGGACGCCGUCACCGUCCUUAACUCCAUGUCCAACUCUCAUAACGCCGUCCUUGCUCUUCGUUGGUUCCAGAGCAACAUUAGGAUCAAAAGGGAGGUAAUUCUCCACAACGUCGCACUUAAGGUUUUCAGAAAGUCCAAGGACUGGGCUGGCGCGGAGGCUCUAUGGUGGAAGAUGCUGGAAAAGGGAAUCAAGCCGGAUAAUGUGACGUUCACGACCAUGAUUAGCUGUGCCAGGUUCUGCAACAAGCCCGAACAAGCUGUCAAGUUGUUUGAGAAAAUGCCCGAGUUUGGAUGCUGCCCAGAUGAUAUCACCUACUCGGCCAUGAUUGAUGCUUAUGGUCGGUCGAGUAAUGUGGAGAUGGCUCUUGAGUUGUACGGUCGAGCUCGUGAGGAAAAGUGGCAACUUGAUCCUGCGACUUUUGCUACAGUGAUAAGGGUCUAUGGCAUGUCAGGUGAUUUUGAUGGAGCAUUGAAUGUGUAUGAGGAAAUGAAGGCUCUUGGUGUGAAGCCAAAUGUUUUUAUUUACAAUACAUUGUUGGAUGCCAUGGGCAGGGCAGGAAGGCCAUGGCAAGUCAAGACUAUUUACCGUGAAAUGUGCAGCACGGGGUUGGCUCCUAACAGAGCAACAUACUCAGCUCUUCUGCGAGCAUAUGCUAAAGCUAGAUAUGCUGAAGAUGCACUCAGCGUGUAUAAGCAGAUGAAGAAAGAAAUGGAGCUUGAUGUCAUCUUAUACAAUAUGCUUUUGUCAAUGUGUGCUGACGUUGGUUUGGUUGAUGAAGCAGUGAAAAUAUUUAAUGAAAUGAAGGGUCUAUCAGAUGAGUCCAAACCAGAUAGCUGGAGUUAUUCAGCCUUGAUAACUGCAUACUCAUGUAGUGGAAAAGUUUCUGAGGCUGAAACCAUGUUGAAUAACAUGUUAGAUGCUGGGUUUCAGCCAAAUAUUUUUGUGCUUACAUCUUUAAUCCAGUGCUACGGUAAAGCUGGAAGGACUGAUAGUGUUGUGGAAGCAUUUGACAAACUUCUAGGGUGGGGGAUCAAACCUGAUGAUAGGUUCUGUGGAUGUCUCUUGAAUGUGGCAGCUCAGACGACAACAGAAGAACUAGGGAAGAUUAUUGGUUGUAUUGAAAGAGGAAAUACUCGGUUGGGCUCUUUAGUAAUGUUACUGGUGGAUGAGGGAAGUAACAAUGAUACUAUUAGACAAGAAGCUGAAGUACUCUUUAAUAAUGUGAGUAGUGAAGUCAAAAGAGCUUAUAGUAAUUGUUUGAUAGAUCUCUGUGUAAACCUCAACUAUUUGGAAAGAGCUUGUGUGCUCCUCAACCUGGCAAUUCAGCUUGAGAUAUACACAGAUCUUCAAUCUCGAUCUGCUACACAGUGGUCCUUACAUGUGAAGAGUCUCUCACUUGGAGCAGCUCUAACUGCAUUACAUGUAUGGAUGAAUGAUUUAACCAAAUCUUUGCAGAGUGGGCAGGACUUGCCUCCGUUACUUGGUAUUCACACAGGGCAUGGAAAACAUAGAUACUCAGAAAAAGGGUUAGCAUCUUCUUUUGAGCCUCACUUGAGGGAAAUUGGUGCACCAUUUCAUGAAGCACCAGACAAGGCUGGAUGGUUUCUGACCACAAAAGUUGCAGCUCAAUCAUGGUUGGAGUCGGGGAACUCAUCUUACAUAGCUGCUGCUUAGGCUACAGAGUUAGGUAAGCCAGCUACCAACACAAUCUAGCUAACGACUCUCGAGUGUCUGGCAGUCUUGCUUUAAAGGCUGUUACUAAUAAGGCAAUUAUGAUUAUCAAGAAAACCUGCAUUGGAUUUUCAUCCAGAAAGAGUAAAGAUUGAUCUCAUAGGUUAUUACAUGUUCAAGCUAUCUAUGUUGAUCUUAACCAUCCUGAGCAUUCUAACAAGCAACUUAGAACCUGAACUCUUAUGAAUCAUAUAUUUAUCUUGAAGGUAAUAUGGACAUCUGGAUGGUUUGCCAUUUUAUCUCUAACAAAAGGUUUCACUAAGUCUCAGACCUCAUUUGUUUGAUCUUCAUAUCUGUGCUUACUGUUUGCCUGAUUUCUAGCUUCUCAAAUUUGGCACUUUCUAUGGACAUGAACAAAACUCUUUCUGCAAUAAAACAGUUUUCCAAGUUCAAGAAAUUCACAAUACACAGAAAAAUGCCCUCUGUAAUUUAUAUUUCAGCGUCAACAAUAGAAUAACCAUCUUAUUUAAUGAAAUCUUGACCGUACGAGCAGGAAACCAUGGUUCAAGUGUCCCUACCCUUUAUUUUAUUUAUUUUUGAAAAUGGAUGUCUGAACAAUUAGGUCAGAGACCAAAAGUAGAACAGCAACUCUUGAAGGAAAAAAGUUCAAAGGACAAACAUACCCAUAAUACAAUUUUGCAACCUGUUGAGUUCAAUUAUUACAGGGUCAGAAGGGCUAGCAAAGAGUUCCGUGGCCCCAGCUGCAUCUCCCAAGCUGCCCAUUGCACCGCACACUUCUCUACUUCAAGCAGCUUGUUCCUCUUCUCACUUCCAGAGAAGACAACCGUGUCACAAAAACUGGAGGAUUCAUGGCAAUUUAUGAUGAAGGGUAUCUUGACAAACACUGCCCAUUCUCCAGGUGGGAUUCACCAGAGAAAGAGCAGCUGAAGCCGGCUACAACUCAGCUUGAUAGCUAUCAUUUGUAGGUGCAACUCCUCAAUCACUUUUGUUUUUUGAAUUACAUUAAAAAAAAAGUUUUGAGCGUGUAGAUUUGACAGCAUGGCCUACAACGGUUUUGUGUGGUUAUACUUUUGAUUGUUGUCGAUAGCUAUCAAUCAAAGAUUGUGUUAAAUAAAAACGAAAACAAGGCAAAAUCCAAGCUUCAGUCUUGUGACGGCGUCGAAUACACAGGCUAAUACAGAGAACAGAUUUGUUAUAUUCUUUUUUCUUGUUAAGCAGAUUAUAAAUGUGUGAUUGUGAUUAUUACUGAAACAGGCAGAAAAAGAAGUAAUGGUUUAUCAGGCUCUGUGCAAUCAAUGUAUCAAACUUAAGCCAACAAAGAAACGUUCUCCUGUUUGCACUGAGCCGAGCAUAUAAACCCAGAUAAGUUCAUGGUUGAACAGACUCAGAGAGAUUAUUUUGAUGCAGGAAAAAAAGAGAGAAGGCCUAAUUCUUAGCUUGGAAGAGUUUAUAUCCUUAAGUUUUUUUUUUUAUUCUUUUGAUCUUGUUAGAGGAUAAACACUCUUAUCACCAGCCAGUGCAACAUUACUUGCUUCUGGUCAUUGAAUCCACAUUGCAUUUGAUGAGUUCAGAUUUCAGCUUCACUAUUUCCAACUAAAACUAGAUUGUGAUGUGAAGCUUAUCCAAAAAUUAGGUGAUUCUUCUUCUUCUUUCCAGCUUCACUAGCCGGUGAACGCGGUUUACAGAAAUCAAACACUGGACAUACUUCUUGGAAAAGAUUCAUAGGACUCAUGUGAACUGUUCUUUUGUUUAUUGUUGUCUAUUUGGCUUAACAAUUGUACUUCUUGUUGUGCUUUUGAACAGGUCGAAAUGUGAAAUCUGAAAGCAAAGCUUACAAUUAUAAGCCUUAGAUCAAAAUGUCUAGUGGCCCAUUGAUUUGGAUUAAAUGGUUGGUGAGAAGGUGACACAAAGUGGAAAUAGUAUCUACUGAGACAACCGCUUUUAUUCUCUACUUUUGCAAAUCUUUGAAAUUUGGGUUGGAAAUGUGAAUACAAUAAAGAGACGGAGACGAGACGAAGAGAUUUUAUUUUGCAUGAGUUAUUAGUCUCAUAUUAGAAGUCUCUUAGUUUUAUUGUUGAUUUAAAUUAUGACACAUGUAUUGAUGUUGUAAACAUAUGUCUGGGGAGAGACUCUCUCACGCGUGGAUGCGCAAGGGUGGGUGCAAAUCUAAGGCUCGGAUUGUACUGAAUCAAAGUUGACUCGUGUGCAAGCACAAUCUACAGACGUUGAAUGUCGGACUAGUCUAGGCAAGAUUUGUCCAAGUGAAUAAAUCAACGUUUUGUCAUCGAAUCUCUUUUCCCCACUUGCUUAAGAGGGUAAUGAAAGCAUUAAUAUGAAA